AGGGAGUGUUGAUCCUGGCUCAGGAUGAACGCUAGCUACAGGCUUAACACAUGCAAGUCGAGGGGCAGCAUGGGAUUAGCUUGCUAAUCCUGAUGGCGACCGGCGCACGGGAUGUAGUAACGCGUAUCCAACCUUCCCCCUGCUCAGGGAUAGCCCGCUGAAAGGCGGAUUAAUACCUGAUAGCUUCACUAGAUGGCAUCUGACGGUGAAUAAAGAUGACGGCAAGGGAUGGGGAUGCGUCUGAUUAGCUUGUUGGCGGGGUAACGGCCCACCAAGGCAACGAUCAGUAGGGGUUCUGAGAGGAAGGUCCCCCACAUUGGAACUGAGACACGGUCCAAACUCCUACGGGAGGCAGCAGUGAGGAAUAUUGGUCAAUGGGCGGAAGCCUGAACCAGCCAAGUAGCGUGCAGGAUGACGGCCCUAUGGGUUGUAAACUGCUUUUGUACGGGAAUAAAGUGACCCACGUGUGGGUUUUUGCAUGUACCGUAAGAAUAAGGACCGGCUAAUUCCGUGCCAGCAGCCGCGGUAAUACGGAAGGUCCGGGCGUUAUCCGGAUUUAUUGGGUUUAAAGGGAGCGUAGGCCGUUUCUUAAGCGUGUUGUGAAAUGUAGGCGCCCAACGUCUGCACUGCAGCGCGAACUGGGGAACUUGAGUACGCGGGAAGUAGGCGGAAUUCGUCGUGUAGCGGUGAAAUGCUUAGAUAUGACGAAGAACUCCGAUUGGGAAGCCAGCCUGCUGUAGCGCCACUGACGCUGAUGCUCGAAAGCGUGGGUAUCGAACAGGAUUAGAUACCCUGGUAGUCCCCU
Molecule: ribosomal RNA, 805 nt
Filed under: uncultured Bacteroidota bacterium
Lineage: Bacteria; Pseudomonadati; Bacteroidota
Description: bacterial SSU rRNA
Rfam family: Bacterial small subunit ribosomal RNA
Source: RNAcentral